AGAACGAUAGGACUUGGACAUAAGCAGAUGGGGAUAAUCCAUAUACCAAGCACGCAUGAAGGAUCUGACAAAGGCUUACUGUCCUUAUGAAUGACCCCACCACACGAAGACAUGUCGAGAAGGCGCUGUCUCUGUGGAAACAGGCCCUCAGCAGACUUUGGACUUCUCAACCAUGAAAUCUGUGACAAAUAAACUUCUCUGGAUAUAAGCUACCCAAACUAUGGCCCACCUUAUGCCAAAUGGCCAAACAGGAAAGAACUUCAAGAAUGAAGCUCCCUCAGUCAACGCGCAAGAACACGUUGCUUAAAUAAACGCAUCUCAGGAAGGCAAAAGGCAAAGACAGUGGACUACUGACGGAUCCAUCAUGACAUAACUGAUGCUUGAACGCCUUCUCCAAUCUUUUUUCCUUCUGAAGCACUUACUAUUGUAUGUGAUGAUGGGCAGUGCUAUGAUCAAUACAGCUGUAUAAAAUGUAAGGCUAUCUUCUACAGAAGAUUAUCUAUUA
Chinchilla lanigera (long-tailed chinchilla) is the source of this 505-nucleotide long non-coding RNA. RefSeq lists it as uncharacterized. The transcript has 4 exons. NCBI's taxonomy places the organism in Eukaryota, Metazoa, Chordata, Mammalia, Rodentia, Chinchillidae. The record is from RefSeq and is a predicted model, not a curated record.